Long non-coding RNA from Sapajus apella (tufted capuchin), 1392 nucleotides. RefSeq lists it as uncharacterized. Lineage: Eukaryota; Metazoa; Chordata; Mammalia; Primates; Cebidae. The transcript has 2 exons. The record is from RefSeq and is a predicted model, not a curated record.
GUUAUCCACCUGCCUCAGCCUCCCAAAGUGCUGAGAUAACUGGCAUGAGCCACCAUGCCCGGCCCAGAUUUCCCCUUUUUCUAAGGACAUUGGUCAUAUUGGAUUGGGGGUCCAUUCUACCCCAUGAUGGUGUCACUCUAAGGUAACUAAUUAUACCUGCAAACCACCCAAUUUCUAAAUCAGCUCACAUUCUGAGUUAUUGGGAGCUGGUAUAUCCCCAUACUAAUUUGGGGGAGAGACAAUUCAAUCUAACACCCUCCAUCCAUGGAAGAAUAGGUAGAGGAUAUUUUGCCUGCUUUUAAAAAAAAAAAAAAAAAAAAACACAUAAUAUGGCAGACAUUUAUUUUUAUUCAGUUUCUUCUCAAGAUGAAGAGAACUCUUUGUAAAUGCCCUAAAGUCAUGUCUUCCUCCUCUUCUCCAAGACCCUACCGUCUUGUCCUUCACCUGCAGUCACCCUGAUAACCUGGGAACUGCUCAGGCAGGACCCUGUGCUCUGACUUGCCCGGACGCAGCCACAUCCCGACCAGCAUGCCCCCCCUUCCUUUCCUCCUCUGUCCUUUUCUUUUCACGUGUCCGGCUUCUGCCCGCCCUUUAGCACCCAGCUCCACGACCAUCUUUUGCUGGGGAAACAUCUCUCAUCCCACCCCAUGCCUGCCUGGUGUCCAUCAUUCAACUCUCCUUGUGUCCCCCGCACUCUGGCUCCCCCUACACUGCACCCCCAACCCUGUUCCAUAAUGACCUUUCCCUUACAAGAGCAUGGGCUCUUUGGGGGCAAAGUCUUGCUGAGCUCCACAGCCCCAGUGUAGGAUCUGCCAUGUAAUAAGUCCACGGUGGCGGGACAGACAGGGAGCUCCUGUAGAAGGAUGCUUUGAGGGUGCCCUGAGCCACAAAGGCUCAGCAAAGGAGGGAGGAGAGGCACACGGAGAAUUAGGGAGGGACUGUGAAGGCCUUAAAGAUGCUCUUGUUUCACUUUGCUUAAGACAGUUAAAAUGUAUGCAUGAGGAUGAGUUAUCAUAACCAAGAACUUAAAGCAGGGUUCCAAGUGGCUCUGAGGGCACAACAGAAUUCAGGUAUUUGGAAAACAGCAUCAAGAUCCAGAGGGGAACAUAGUCAAAGAUCAUUUUAAGUCUAAGUCUGUGUUCACAUUUCCCCCUUUUUAUAAGGACGCUGGUAAUAUUGGAUUGGGGCCACCCUACCCCUUGAUGAUCUCAUUCUAACUUAACUAAUUAUACCUGCAAACCACUCAGUUUCCAAAUAUGCUCACAUUCUGAGUUAUUCGGAGUUGGGACAUCCACAUAUAAAUUUGGGGGAGAAACAAUUCAUUUUAUGACACCCUCCAUCCAGGAAUGAUUAGCAGAGGAUAUUUUACCUACUUAAAAAAAAAAAAAAAAC